This 28-nucleotide ribosomal RNA is filed under the name Coccocarpia erythroxyli. RNAcentral's name for it is "partial 18S ribosomal RNA". The record is from RNAcentral. RNAcentral also lists the same sequence under 1 other name. Lineage: Eukaryota; Fungi; Ascomycota; Lecanoromycetes; Peltigerales; Coccocarpiaceae.
GUUGGUGACCAGCGGAAGGAUCAUUACC